AAACACUAAGAAUACAAAAGCUAUAAAAAGAUAUAUAAAAGGGGUAUAAAAGAAAAGGCAAAAAAUCACUAUGGCAUCACUACCAAAUUUCAGCUUUGUAGAAAUAAACAAUUUGUGUUCAUUUAGCACAGUCCUUGCUAUAGAAAGUGCAGACACCUAUAGGUAUGUGAUGACUUGCUCUUUGGAAGGAUAUUUGGAAAAACGUAUUCAGGAGAUGCACUGAAUUCUCUCAGGACCACUUCUUAAAUUUGAUCCAAAGAAAAAUUUCAGAAAAGAAAAGAAAUACUUCCUGGCUGUUUUUAUGCUUUUUCCUCUAUAAGCACCAGACUCAGCUCAGCUUGGGAGGGGAACAUCAGCCUUAUGUGAUAUAACUUUUCCAUUAGUGCAGAACAGUUGAAGAAACUCUUGAACAACUUUUUUGUUUAGCACAUGGAAAAGAUAAGGCCAACACAAAGGGAAAAUGGCCAAACACAUCAACACCACAAAAAGCUGCUGCUGCCAUCUCUUUUCAGCUAAUGUUACUAUAUACAUGCAUCUCUGCAUGGGUUUUUGUCAGUUCUGGAGGGUGAAAGUCAGUUCUGGUGGGUUUUAUUCAGGUGAAAGGCAAAAGCAAAUUCUCCAAAAACUGUUAACCCACAAGGUUUGUGCUUGGCUAAGGGCAGGUGACAUCUCAGCACAAGUAGAACAGUACAACAGAACACCCCUCUGUAAUCAGAAUUAAGCACAAGCAAUAUACUUUAGUGUGCAAGGAACUGCAGCUGUUCUUCUAAGUUUUAAUCUCCAUUCCUGAACUACCAAUGUCCAAACAGGCAAUAAAAGUGACCUUCCCUAGCUUGUGCUUCUCAUUACUGAAGGUGGAAAAUGACAAGGCAAACAAAAGAAGUGGUUAGAAAUCAUACUGUCAUGACUGAUACAACUGGUUCAUUUGACACUUGUACUGGAAUCUGAAUCAGAAAAGACAGCUACAGAGAACUAGGAAACAUGGACAAAGUUAGGAGACACUGUAUAGCUUUAGGAAGGGAAAAGGAGGUUUCUUAACACAUUUAUCUUUCCUUAGACAGGCCAUAAGCAAUGCCUAUGCAGUCACGUAUUGCUGAGGCAGGUGGCCAUGCAGGUCAGGCUGCUGAGGGGCUGCCAGCAGAAAUCACAAGGAUUAAGGCUUGGAGGACUGUGGACUGCUGCAGUCUGAUCAGUGACUAGUGGAGGCUGAUAAAACGCUGCAAAUUACUGUGUGUGAGAUUUAUAAUGGUUUUCUUCAAGUACUCCAAGUUCAGACCUGGCAGUUGAGUGCAGGAGGCAGGUGUUUGACUGCUCCUGUGCUUUGAGACCAGGAUGGUGAUAAACAGCCUGACAUAAAACGAGCAGCGCUGGAUUCAAACAGGGUUCAUGGCAGACAGAGAUACAGUCGCAUAUUAUAUGGGGGUUGAGCAAUUUAUUGAAGAUUCAGAGCUCGAGUUCUGACAUUGAGAUAUCAAUCACAUGAGAUUAGUGUUGAGGGGUGUUUGCUUUCUGCCUGCAGAUAAACAUCUCCCCUGAAUGAGUUGAGAGAUUUGCAUGUAAAUCUGCUCUGUACCUUAAAUAUGAGUCACAGGCUUUUCUUUUCUGCUUUGUCAUGAAAAGUAUACUUAAAAUAUACUUGUAUAUACUUUAUAAAAAGUAUAUUUGUGUAUAGUUUAUAUAUGCUUGUAUAUACAUAAAAAUAUGUUUAAAUCUCAGCUUGGGUACAUAGGUAACUGGAGUGGUCUUUCUUGUACAAAACAUACUGAGAAAUUUUUUCCUCAAGUCUGCUGUUACUUUAAAUAUUCCAUCCUUAAGAUGUACCAUUUAAAAUCUCAGUUGUUCUUCUGAGGCUGGGAUGUACUCAGACAGUAUAAUGCAUCAGGCUUGGUGGAUGCUGAAUCUGAAUGUAAAGGAAAAUCAGAUGUUUAGUCUUUCUAUCCAUGUAAAAUUGUGGCAUCAGUGAGCUGAAAAUGCGGUAGGAUGAAAUUUAACUUUUCCAUUUGUUCAGGGCUGUUUCUGCUUAGAAUUGAGAAAGUCUUACUUUUCCAUUAUAUGUUACUACAAUUCUUAAAUUUUCUCUUUAAAUAAUUGAUUCUGUAUUUUAUAUUUUUAUUUUAUAUUUUAUCUGUGUACCCAAUAGAGUAUUUGAAGCACGAGGCAUUCUCUUAAAGUACUCAGCUGUAGAAAACAGAAGCUAUUACUAGAUUAGCUGUUAAGAACACUGACAUCCAUAUUGAACCACAGAUAAUAAAAAUAAGUUAUUCUAAAUUGUAAAAAGUAUGGUAAAUUUCAUUGAUAUAAAACCUAGUAAUUGGCAUUGUUAUAUAAUGGCAAUUAAAAAGCACUAUAAAGAAUAAGGUCUGUUCCAAAGGCUGUCUAGAUGAGAAAAACAAAUGUUCUGUAAAGGAAACAUACAAUGUACAUAGAAAGAAGAUAAUAUUCCAUUAUUUGAUAUACAGUCCUGGAGAACACACAGCAUAAGCAGAUCUUUCUGAAAGCUUCCGUAAUUUGAAACUACACCAUGGAGGUAUCCAGGUGAGUGAGAAAAUCUAUAUACGGAUCUGAGACACUGGACUGAAAAGUGUAUUUAGCCUCUUCCACCUAGUUCAGUAAGAUGGAUUAUGAAAGCCAAAAGCAAAGAAAACUGUGUGGCUCAUUUAAUACGAAGAUUUCUGUACCUCCUCCUGAUCUUUCUCUUGGCGCAUAUUUGUCUUGCUGUCCCAAUUGCCUGUGUUCUCUCACACACUUAAUCAACAGUUGAGUUCUCCAACUUCUCUGCCAUCUUCUGAGGACUUUGAACUGCACCCUUCUGGCCACUGACAAAGGACUUGGGACUCCAAAGUCCCUUUCUAUGGCUGUAUGUGAAGGUACUUCAUCUCCCUUUGGUUGUUGUUUAAUCUGGUCUGUUUCUAUAAUUCAUGCAGAAACUUUAUCUCCUCUUGUGCCCAAGAGAUGGUGAAUGGAUAUAAUUUUUCUGCAGCCUCCAAUUCCACCCACCCUACUAUCUCUUUAAGACCCUAAGGAUUUUUUACUUAAUUCUCUUUUCAUGUAUCAUGAUCAUUGUCUUGACUUCAUGCCAUUAAUUACUACUAUACAUCUUUAUUGAACGUUACCAUCUGAAAAGGGAAUGCAGAAAAUCAUUGUGGGCCUGCUCACAAAUGUACUUAGUUAAAUGUAAUCUUUACAUUGAUUUUCAGUGGAUUUAGAAUUACAGGUGAUCAUUUUCCUUCAAAAUAACUUUACCACUAGGAAACUCUAGCUAGGAUUCCCGGGCAAGUUAUUAUGUUAUUUUCUGGAUCAGUCUUGAAGUUCUUUGUUCCAGUAAAUCCCUGGAGGCUGGAUAACUAAAGGAGCUUUGGGUUAGCUGUCUGAAACUAAUGGCAUUAAAUCAAUUGCUACAAGAAUAUAUUUAGGCUGAGCAUUAAUAAUAUGGGGAGCCGAUGACAUAAUGAUGGAGCACUGGCCUGGGAUUUGGGAUGUCUGGACUGUGAUCUUGGCUCAGCCCAUAACUUGCUGGGCAACCUCCGGAAAGUCACUUUACUUUUGCCUUAUUAAAAAGUUUCAUGUGGAAAGUGCUUUGAACUCUUCUGAUGGCAAGUGUUAUGCCAGUGCCAUAUAUUUUGUAACCACAUAAGUGAAAUCUGUUAAAUGCCAAGGAGAAUUAAAGUGGUAAGUGCCUGUGGCUAGAGAGCCUUUCAUGGACACUGCUCAAGCCUCCUGUCAAAUCUGUGUUUCUGAAAUAAUCUUGUAGGAGAAGUGAAAGGAGCAGGAAGAUGCCCAAAUAGCCCUUUAUACUGAUAAGGCUUGUUUAAUAAUGACAAAUUGUACAAUAUAAGAUGCAAUGAGAAGGAUGUAUCAAGUGGGAUUCUGCAGGAGUUAUUCUGGUUAUUGCAGUAUCAGCCUUUUCAUUAGGGCACAGAAUACGACACUCCAGGAAAGAAUAGGGAGAUUAUCAAUGAUGGAGAGUGCUAGGAUACUGUUUUAGAUAGCAAUUUUCCUGAUAGGUACCACUGAGAAAGCUAACAUACUUCAUACCACUUUUUUUUCUGUGAAUCAGAGUUCAGUUCUCAGUAGGAAGAUCAGCUGCACAUGAACAUUGGAAGAGAAGCAGGAUUUGGAGCUACAGCAGGAGAAGAAAUCAUCACUAAGGGGAGCUAAGCAACAUUUGACUUGUGAAAUUGGGUGGACUUGGUCUCUCUUUACUGGGAGCUAUGAAAGAGGUGAAUCAAAUAGAGGCAUCAAAAAUUAUCUUUGAGAAAGUAUGAAGGAUUUAUGAAGUCCUAGAUCCUGGAAAUGAGUAAAUGCAGUCCUUAUCUUUAAAAAGAGGGAAAAGGAAGUUCAGAGGAAUUACAGAUCAGCAAGCCUUUCCAGAAAAAAAUACUGAAGAAACAAAUAAUUUUUAAGGAGAAAACCCAAAGCCAGCACAGAACAAAAUGAACCAAGGAACUGGAAAACAACAAAGGUCUGUCAAAAGCAAAUUAUCCAAGUUUCAAACCUGUUUUUUUUUCUAUGAAAGAAGAGUGUCUAUAGUAGAACUGGCCAGAGUGGUGCACUUUGAGCCUUGUAAGCAUAACAUGGCAGCUUCCAAAGUAGACUGGGAAAAGUGCAUCUGUAAUUAAACUGCCCUAAGCUUGAUACAGAACUCUCUGGAAAGCCUCCUUCACAGAGGGUAUUAAUGACUCACUGCCAAACGCUCAAGCAGGAUCCCAUGUACUCUGGAUGCAGCAGUAAAUUCUUCAUCAGUAACUUGCAUAAUGAAGCAAAGGUUAUGCUUAGUAAAUAUGCAGACCAUACCAUCCUAGGCAGAUUCAGGCAUAUUGGGAAAAUAAGAAUUUUUUUUCCAAUAACUUUAUAAUUUAGAGAAAUGGUCUGAAAAAUAGAGCGGAGCUGAAUUAAGGACAAAUAUGAACUGUACAAUGCUGACCAACAAUAUGAUUGUACAAGGACAGCCAGCUCUGACAGUCCAGAAUACACUGGGUGGUGAAACUGCAGGGGAAGAUCUGAAGCUAUUACUGGGCAUCAUUAGUGGAAAGAAACGGUGUCAAGCUGUUGUGCAAAACACAAGCACUCACUGGGUACGCAAGAUCAGGCAAUGGACUCUUCUCUCUGGUGACCAGUGACGGGACCUGAGGGAAUGGCUGGAGCUGUGUCAGGGGAGAUUUAGGUUGGAUAUCAGGAAAAAGUUCUUCUCGCAGAAGGUGGUCAGGCACUGAGCAGGCUCUCCAGGGAAGGGUCAUGGCCCCAGGGCUGACAGAGCCCAAGGAGCGUUUGGACAACACUCUCAGGCACGUAGUAGGAUUGUUGGGGUGUCUGUGUAGGGCCAGGAGUUGGACUGGAUGAUCCUUGUGGAUCUGUUCCAACUCAGAAUGUUCUAUAAAAGAACAAGCCCUGCAGGGUAAGUGAAGGUGCUCUGGUGAAAUCUGAUGUCCAACACUAGGCUCCAUGGAAAAUAACACCAGAGACUGGCAAGUGCAAGGCAAUGAGAAUGACUACCACUGAGGAUUUAAUGAACUGCUGUUAUUUCAUCUAAAGAGGAAAGAAGACACAGGUGCUACAGGAUAAUUGCCUUCCAACUGAGAAGAGACUGCUGCAAAGAUACUCUGGAAGGCUUGAAGAACUGUUCGAGCUGUUAUGAGGUUGGUACUUUGCCCUCUGGAGUGGGAAGAAACAGUGCACAUAGCAACUUGAGUUGACCUCAUUUAUCCUAUUCAAAAAUAUUCUGACUGCAUGAAGCUCUUGCUCUUACAAGUCUACAUGAAAAACUGCAGUGCGAAUGCCCUCGAGGCAAUUUAGAACAUCUGCUGUGAACACAUGAAACCCUUCCCUCUGCAGCCAGCUUGCCACUCGGUUUAAUGGAGCCAAGAUACGAGGCUUGGUCGGUUGAGCCAGGCACAGCUUGGACACCCAACAGUGUGAAAAUCAGCGAGUCAACAAACUUUCAGUAUGAGAAAAAUGAGAGACUCAGAGAAAUUAAUGCCACAAUUAAAAAAAAAAACCCACAUACAAUUUUGUGUUGCUGUUGCAGCAGCACUGCAGAAUUUAUAGCUAAUCAAGCCAUAAAACCCAAAGUAAUAUUAAUCAGCUUUCCAGCCCUUGCAAUAUACAUUUACUUUUAAAGAACUGCAUUUAAAAUUGUCCUCAUUUCUUUUUCUGAAAACCCCCAAGAUCCUGAUUGUCCUGUUCAGUGAAUGUCUGUAUAAAACAGUUUUGCUAGCUUGCCAUUGAGCCACCCUUUUUCAGUUUCUUGUACAGUAACAAUGAAGCUGCAGAUGAGUGCUGGUAUCACUUCUUUUCACUUCCCUUAAAAAAUUUGUUGUUAGUGAACUGAUAAAACUCUCGUAUGGUUCAUUCCUACUUAAAAUUAGUAACAGCUCUAGGUUAAUGAUAAUUCAGAAAUUAGUAAUGUUGAACAGCAUCCCAAUUCUGUGUUUUUAAUUAAUAUCUUUAAUUUACCACUUCUGUUGUUCUCUCAUUCUGGCUCCACAGUUUGAAGGAAGAUCUGUGAGAAGCCCAGUCAGACCAGUGUAGUUUUGUUGUGCUAAUGACCUUUCUCUGAAGCAAACAACAGAAAAAUAUAGUCUAGGUUAUGCUUAUGACUGAACCACUAUGGGAGUUUGGUCCUACUGCUGCUAAUAGCAAAUCACACUGGAACUGGUCAAUGACCUUAAUUUCAUUAGAAGCUGCUUCUGGUUUUAGGCAAAUUUGGAAAAAAAUCCUCAAACCCUCAAGAUCCAUAAGCUAACCACACAUUUUUAUCCUUUACUGUAUGAACAGGAUGGAUAGUUACUGAAUUUAGAAGGAAAUGGAUUUUUUAAAGGGGUAUCAUCUCCUGGCAGCUCUGUCAUGCAUACAGGAUGCCCAUGGACUCUGGAAAAACAUCUCCAUUUUAACUUAGGCCACUUCUCCUCCAAACAAAACAUUAUGUCCCAUCACCUAACACAGGGUACUGAGAUGCUGCCUCCUAUUUUCCAGGCUCUCCUUUAAUUACUUGUUUGGGUGUCCUUGUGCUACAGCACCUUUUACUUUUCCUCUGGUCAGACUGAUCAGCAGCAUUCUUGGGCAGAAAAACAAGGAGCAGGACUUGGUACUUAGGUCUGAGACAUUCACUAGCAAGGAAAUUUGAAGAGGAUUGAGCAGUGUUUUCCAGCAUUUCCUUCUAGUGUCUCCUAGAGCUGCUCUGCAGUGUUUCCAUCCAUAAGCCUCUCUUCAGCAUACCCUGAUUUUUAUAUGGCUUCAUAUUUCCCAGAACCUAUCAGAAGGCUGAUGUCAAGAAAGGAUGUUGCGAAAGUCACACUGCAAGCACUGUACCAAAUGGAAAAAAGCAGCACUGGAAACCUGUUCCCUUAUGGAUGUUUCACUUGAGACAUGGUCACAAUUAUUUUCGGAGGGAAAAAAUCACACACUAAAUACAUUUAAUUAUUUGGAUCUUUUCCUGCUUUGGACAGAUUGUGACAAUCUUAUAUAAACAUUGGCACCAAGUAUUAGGGCAGUCUGAUUUUUGACCCAGAUCUGAUUAUUUUGCAGCACACACAACUGCGCUUCCAGUGGAAGAUUCCCCCAUGUCAAGUUUCUAACAGGGUAAAUAAAACCAUCUGUUGUGGAAGCAGGAUUUUUAAAUUAUAUGCCCUGUUAACCACUUUCAUGUCUAAAGAAAUAACCUCGUGCCUUUAUGAAAGGAGUUCUGCUCUCCUGAUUUACACAUAUCUGGGCCAGAUAUCAGAUGGCUAAAUUAACUUCUAUUCCCCUUACAUUUACUUCUAUCAGACGGAUUUCAAUCUUCUCCCUUUCCAUUGACCCCUCGUGUUUCCCCGCCUCCUACUUUCUCUUGAGCUCUAUGACAAAUAUAAUUGCAAUAAAUGUUUUAUAAAAAUAGGUAACGAAACAAAUACUUUAAAAUAUAAAUAUGUUAUACAUGUUAUAUCUGGUAAAGUAAUUAAAAUAUCUCUUAUGAAAAAGAUCUUAUCAGCCUCUAGUCCAAUGUGAACAUCAUCUCUGCAGAGAUGAGCGAGGAGCACUUAAUGUGAGUAAAGGGGGGGAUUUCCAUGGUAAGAAUACACAUGGUUUUCCCCAGACCUUUCAAUAAGUGCUUAAGAGAAACAUUUUUCCUCUUAAAUAAGUGCAUUUGAAGACUCCACUUGUUUAGCUAAAUUGUUGUUGAAUCAGCAAGAGGUUAAAUUGCUAUUUCCAGGACUAUUCUGCUCUCUGCACUCCCCUCAGUCACAAAGAGAAAUAGUUCUUGUUAGAAAAGAGGGGAGUGAACAGAAAUUUCUGCUGCAAAUUAGCACAUGGAAGGAACACUGUGUGCUGUUUCACUUUAUCACUUCGGGGGGUCCAUAUGGGUUACUUUAAUAGGACUUAAUAUUUGUCCUCUUUUUAUUCUUAUAAUAACGGAUACACCAGGCUAGACACUGGUGUCUCCUUAAGGAAAUUGGGGCACCAUCUGGAUUCAUGCCAGCUAACAUUCUGCUCAGUUGGCUCUAAGCCUUACAAAAGUUCAAAUAUAUAUAUAGUUCAAGUUUUAAAUUCUUCUGCAUGGUUUAUUAUAUAUUUAUUUAUUUCUAUGGCAGUGUCUUACCCUGUUAGUCUACUGCAAGGCUUUAGGGUCCUUGGUGAUUUUGGGAUUACGAACUCUGCCAGUCGUGUGAUUUGCAAACAUGAGGUUAAACCCACAGAGCAGUAGCGUGGGUAACACUUACAUAAAAAUAUACAUACAUUUAAAUAAUAUAUGUAAUUUGCUGAUGUAGAAGGCAGUGCUGGAUCUCACAUUUCAAAUUCUAAUUUUCAGCAGUUUGCUACGACUGAAGCAUUUGCUUUGAUGACUGUAAAAUAUCAAGUAUCUAUAGAGAUGAACAAGACAUAUAAAUCAUCUUGUCUAUGUUUUAGUUAAGCACAAGCUUCCAUGUUUACCCUGAUACCUCUGUGUUAGAAAUAUCAAAUACCGAAUUGAGAUUGGACCGCCUAAUUUAUGUUCCUUGUUUAAUACUCACUAUUGUCCUAACACCCCUCUCCCAGCAUUGCUUUGAACAUAAAACUUUGAAUACUCCACAGUUAAUCUGAGCUUGUUUGACUGGUCAAUUACCCUUGUUAAAAUUUUGUGCUUGCUAUCUACAGUUACUUUAUUUAAACGUUCACUUUAUGUCAUAUCUAUAAAUGAAAAUACAUUUUUAUGUGGAAAAUUAGAAACUGGAAAAGCUGAAAGAAAUAAUGAAGAAAUGGUCUGGAAGAUACCUGAGGUGAAAUUUAGAAAUUUCUGAAUCUCAGAAAUGGCAAGAACCAAACCAUCACUUUUCCUCUGAACCAAGUUGCAUCCCUCUUCUGAACUUUUGCUUUUUGGCAAAUAUGCUGCAAAACCAGCACAGUGACUCAGAAAAUGAAAUUACUACAUGAUUUAUUAAGCUUUACAAGGAUGGACUCACAGGAAACCAGAUUUACCCCCCCUUGAACCAGUUUUCUAAGUUCUAGGAAUAGAGUUACAAUGCAAAUUAGAAUAGUUGGAACUUAGUAGGUUUAAGUGUUUAUUUUUCCCUACAGGACAGUAAUCAACUUUUUGGUGUUUCUUUAUAUACUCCUGAGCACAAUGGUCAGGAUCUAAAGCUCCUAUGUGAACCUGAGUGCAAAUAACAGUUUUCAGGUGAAAAUUUAUGUUCCUUGUUUAAUACUCACUAUUGUCCUAACACCCCUCUCCCAGCACAGUUUCCAGCAGUGAUUAUACUCUAGUCCUUGGAAACUGUGUAAAACAGCACACUGGCCUAAGCAGACAUUUUCUGGAGAGGGGACAGCUGUAAGAGGGUUUUAACCUCUCCCUUCUCCUCCUCUUUUCUUGUCAUGGUGAUGAGAACUUCCACCAUCUUUGGAAAGCUCUGCCACUUCUCUCAUUUCCAGCCAGUUACUCCUGCUAACAGGAACAGUAAUAAAACUGCUACACAACACAGCUGGCAGGUGAAUGGGUGCAUCUUCCUGCAAGGAUCCACUCCCAUCAUCUUGGGUAUCAAGAAUUACAUCCUCCAGUUUCAUGUUGCGCCUUCAUCCUUUUCCUGCAAGGCUGUGCCCGUUUUGAAGGAAUAAUUUGAUCUAAUGCAUUUUUCAUCAUCAAUAGCAGUUUUUUAUGGCAGCAGCGAAUCCUUUCAGAGGACAUCUGCAGUAAAAUACAACAGAGAGAGAGAGAGGAAACAUUCAGCAGCUCAAUUACUACUUCUGCUUUAGUGUAGGUAUGGAAAAAUACUGGAAGAAAUGGUGGAAGUAUUAAUGAAAGCCAUGUCCCAUUAAACUUUUGACCAGAUAGGGCUGACUCUCAUGUGCCAAGCUGCUGGAUAUUCAUGCCAGCAAAUUAAUCAUCCCAGGAAACAUUUACUUCAGAUUUGUGGAGAUAUGUGAUUUUCAGUUUAACUAUAGGCCUUUUUCUUUGAAUUUCCUACCAUUUAAAAAACUGCACAAGAACAAGGCCUGUCUGUCACUUCACAAACUGUGUCAACUUACUUUAAGGCUUCCUGUCUCUCACCCUUCAGGCAUGACUUAGUUUUGCAUAAUUUACAUAUUUUUAUAAUGCAGAAACUUUCUGGAUGAUUUUCCAUCAUGACUUCAGCUCUUUUGUUGUAAAGGUAACUUUUUAUGAUGUGACAGAAACAUAAACAAGAUCCCAUCACAAUAAAUAGUUACCAUGAACUCAUCUUGGAAAAUGCAUUCCAGGAAACCAGUCACUGUAAAAAAUAACAAAUACUAACGGCAUUAAGAGUGAGAAUACAGACAGGGCAGGGAUGAAGAAUUAGAAAUAAAAGUUCUACUGUGCCCUAUUUUUUAUUAGAAAUAUUUAAGUUCCUAUUAGGUAUAUUUAAAGGACCCCAAGCUCAAACAUAGGAAAAUUCUGAAUUUAACAUUAGCUAUAAACCUAAUAAAGUAGAAUGUGUUGAUUUAAAGAAUAGCUGGUAACAUAACUUCUGGUGUUCAUUUAUCAUAUCUUUAUGUGCUAUUACUUUAUAAGAUUUUAAAUGUAAUGCUUAUUAAAAAUGCAAGUCAUAUAUGAAACAAAUACAUAUGUUCCUGUUCCAUAUGAAAAUUCUAACUUUGAUUUGUGGUUACAUGUAAUAGAUCAAUAUGUACAUUGUUCCUGUCCUCCCACUAGAUGGAUCUGAUCCGUUCUGUUCUUUCUCCCAUAUGUAUUCACAUCUGCCAUAGUGGGAGGUAACCGGUUUAGAAAUGGAGAACAGAACCUUGGACUAAAUUCUGAUCUCAUUUACAUCAUUCAGCAACAGAGCUACCAGCCCUCCACACAGGAAAUCCAUUAAAAUUGCUACUUGUACCACGCCCUCACCCUCCCCAAUUAGGAUUUAUUUUAUUUGAUAACUCACAUCAUAAUAUCAUUUCUAUGUUUCAGUACAGAGACACAGGCCAAAUCUGUAGUAUUAUGAGAUGCGUGGAAUUAAUUGAAAUACUGGUAUUUUUAAAAUAUUGCCUUAUGUGUCUCCUGUUGAACACAAACAACCUCAUCUUCGAAGUUUCCUUUGAAAUUGUAACCUUUUCUGCUUUAAUCCUCUUUUGUCACAUAACUUCUCCUAUACUGAUCAGUAUUAAGGACAGCUCUGCCACUGUACCUAAGUGCAUUAUAAAUACUAUCAAUGUUAGUCUCAUUCCCCUUUUUUGCUUUCAGUGAGGAGAGACCUUCACCUAACUAUGCAUGACAGUUUUAUCCAGUUUCAGAGUUAUUACAGUUAAUUGAGAGUCCUUUUAAAUCUUGAGGACUUUGAAAAUGGUAGGAAAUAUAAUGUACAGACCGGACAGGUAUUGACUUCUUUGGUGCCCAUUGGAUAGUUUUAACAGUGUGGCUCUAUUUCAGCCUUAAAUUGGAGCAGAGUAAUCAUACAAAAGGAAAAAUUCCUUCAACAGAAAAUGUACAAGAGCACAAACAAAUCAUUAUGUCUGUAGAUCCUUUAUUAUUAAAAUUGAGGGAAGGAAGGGGUACUCAACGUGUCAGUCACCUUGUAAGAGAACCUGGAUUUUGACAGCAGCAGAAUAGCGAAAGCCAGAAAUAGAGAGCAUACCAAAAAAGAUUAAUUCUCAGUGGAAAGGCGAUUUUCUCUGAAAAACAACCUUUAUACUUGCUGUGAAGUUAAAGAAGAGCACACAGCAAAAAAAGAUACCUGAUAGCAACCACAACCUGGCUGCUCAUAAAACUGCUAACUAAGCACACACAGUAUUUGCAGCUCAGAAUUGUGCAACUUUCCAUAAAAAUUUCACUCUGUGGGAAACUAUGUGUAUUGAAAUUCAUAGAAAUGCUUAUUCACUGCAAAAAUGUUCAGUGUCCAAAUUAGAUGCCCUUCAUGAGGCAGUAAAUUACUACAAAUUCAGUGUUUUUUAGAUGCCCACUUUCAAAUUGACUUUACAGUACACUUGCACUAAUUACCAACAUUGCCAGACCUCUACUAUUAAAAAUAAGUAGCAUGCAAAUAGUGAAGGGUUUUUUUAAGUGCAUGUGCUCAGUCACAACUGGUUACUGAAGGAUAUAUUUUUGUUGGCCUUUCCUCCUUUGCAGAAGCUGUAUCUUUCGGUGGAUGUCAGAGAAAUAUUUUCCACAACUCAAAUGUGGAGCUGGGGAGAAUUUGGGUGUGUGGUGAAUCCUGGAGGGUUUGUAAGGCUCUUGGUGCUCUCAGGAAGUGCAUUGUUGCUGUUAAGGACAAGAAAGGCACAGGAGAAGGGGUAACUUUCCUUCAUAUCACCCCAAUCCAGAACCAUUUCUGAAGCCCUAACACCUGGCAUGCUUUCCAAGGCUGCUGAGCCUUUAGGCAAGCCCCAGUUGGACAUCCAGCAUCAUGGAGACACCCCAAAUUGAGGCUGAGGUCCAUCAAGUCCUGGCCCUUCCAGACGGUUCUCCCAACACAUGCCCUGGCCUGACUGCACCCAAUCAACAAUGAUAAUCUUCAGGUGUGGCUGCAGCACCACAGCUGGCCCCAAUGAACUCUGCUAAUGUAACUGCUGCUGCAAAUGAGGGUGGGGUCCAUUCUGCACACCUGGGGCUGAACCAGGAGCAGGUGUGGGGAAUGCAGGAGCAUCCCUUUCCUCCCUGAGGGAAGACCAGCAACUCGACCUCAAGGAACAUGUACCUAUUUUGCUGUUGCUUUUAAUUGUUGUCACCAAAAAUGUUGGGAUAAAUCAAACUAACGUUAAUAUUAGAAGGCAGGCAUUAUUUUAUUCACAGUACUUGGUGUGUGUGUGGUCGCUCCCCAAAUGUGCACACUCACUUUGAAAACUUCUCAAUAUUUAUAUAUUUUUAGCAAACAAAGCAAUUAAUGUUCAUUGGCUAUAAAUUAAAUAAUUCUGUUCAUUAAUUAGUAUUCUUUUAUUGAUUCUCCAUUCUCAUGCUAAUUAGCCCACAUUUGCAGUCUUUUUAUUAUCUUUUUCUCAGAGAGUGUUUCAGUGCAAUUGCUGAACUGUCUUUGUUAGUUUCUUCUUUAUCUCUGGUUUCUGCAAGACGUCCUUGUAGUCCAUAAAUUGUGCCUUCUUUUGUGCGCAGUUCUCGGCAAUACAUCUCUCCCCCAGGUUCUGUGCUUUGACACAUUCCAAGGCUGGUUUAGCAAAACUUAGUUUCAGGAGCUUUCCCAAACUGUGUUCUAACAAUAGUGGCUUUGCUACGUGCUGGCCAUAGUGGAAAAAUCACACUACUUAUGAUGAAUUAACAAAGUUAAUUAGAAAAGGUAAUUAAAAAGAAUUAAUUAGAGAAGUGAAGCAUUGGCUGCCGGGGCCGGUGUCGGUUGCUGGGCUGAUUGGGGUUGCCAGGCAACCGGCGGGGCCGACGGGGCCGGGCCUGGGCCGGGCAUAACUUAAAAACCAAAACAAAAACCCCAGAUCCAACAAAAACCCCAGACCCAACAAAAACACCAGAAAUAAAACCUCAAACCACAGGUUUGAUGAGUACCCCGAGGGCCACUGUGCUGCCCAUGGUGGCAGGGCCUACCCGCCUGAGGGCUCGGGGCAGUGUGGGUUGCUUUCAGGGCAUGCCUUAAAGGCAUUCACGUUAUAACGCUUCAAAAUAUUUGGCUUUUUAAAAGUUGCAGGCUUUGGCUGCUGGAUAAAAAGCUUCGGGCUCGAGACUUUGAUGGAACAGUUGCAUAGAAACAAAUGAAGAUUUAAUUAUACCUCCUUACAGAGGAGUUCAGAACACUCAGGGCUUGUUUGCCCCCCUAAGACUCCACUCCUCACUUGCGGAAAAAGCUUUCUUGGUGACCAUGUUCUCUGGGUGCCUGAGCAUUUUAUUUCUGUGCCCAUGACUAAGAAAAGUUAGAGCUGACACUUUCCUUUUACCUGCAGGAGACUGCAAUGGAAUGACAGAACUGUGCUACGAAACAGUGUCAUUGUGUAUUUAUCUUGUGAAGUUAUGAGUAAUUAUAAGUGAGGCUCUUCCUGCAGUGCUGGUUUGGGUGUUCCUCGGGAGGUGGUGGGGCUUGGUGUGGCAGUGCAUUCCCAAGGGAUGGCACAGUGCUCUGGUGAGGCUGAUCACCUGUGUUUCUUCUGAAUCCCUCACACCAACCCUUCUGUGACUGUUAGGGGGCUGACUCAGGUGGUGGUGUCAAGAGUGAAAGGAAUAAACUUGUUUCACAAGAGGAAAAAUAAAGCAAGAUGUUUAAUACGUAUAAAUAUCUCAAAGGCAAGUGUCAAGAGGAUGGUGCCAGGCUCUUUUUAGUGGUGCCCAGUGACAGGACAAGGAGCAACGGCCACAAACUAAAACAUGAGAAGUUGCACCUCAACAUGAGGAAGAGCUUCUUGACAUUGAAUGUGGCAGAGCACUGGAACAAUCUGCGCAGGGAGGGUGUGGAGUCUCCCUCUCUGGAGACAUUCCAAACCACCUGUGUCACUUGCUCCAAGUGACCCUGCCUUGGCACAAGGAUUGGACAGGGUUAUCUCCAGAGGUCCCUCUCAACACUAAUGAUGCUGUGAUUCUGUGAAGUGAUUCAGUGGCAAUCACUUGCCGCCUGCUGUGUGCAGGCUGAACCACACAGGUUUCUGAGCAAAAGAUGGCAAACCCUCCAAAACCCCCUUGUUUUCUCUCUUACUGCUAAGCAUGUUGUUACAUGAUAUGAGUAUCUAGCUAGUGUCACUUGCCUGGUUGUGCCCACUCCCAGCCCACUGCACACCCUCCUCCAGUCUGGUCACUGGUGAGGCAGAGUGACAAAGAAAAGGCCUCAAUGCUGCUCAGCAAAAGCAACAUCACUGUGUUACCAGAACUGUUUUGGUCAACAGUCUAACCUACAGCACUGUAAGAGCUGCUCUGAUGGAAACUAACUCUGCUCUAGGUAGGCCCAGCUGUUUGGGUUCUGGAAAUCUCCACAGGUGGUGGAUCCUCUCUGAGUAAGUCUAUCUGCUUUGCCAGGGUCUAUGCACUCCCACUGAGAAAUUCCAAUAUUUUUUUGCAUGCAAUGGGAGUCUCCACUGCUGCAGGCAGUAGUUGUUGCUUGUCCUUUCACUGAUUGACUUGGGGAGGAGUCAAGAGCCAUGUCAUCUCCACAGCCAUGCUAUAGGCUGCUGAGAGCAUUAGCAACACCCACCUCUUGCAAGGUUCCUGUUCUCCAGGGCUAAUAAAACUUGUUUCUUCAGUCUCUUUUCACACUUCAUGAACUAAAGCCUCUGUUUCAUUGGCAAGUUAAAGGUGCACUCUUAUUUUUGCCUCCCCUGAGGGCUAAUUGUUGGUCCUUUUUGUGGGGAACUCAAAGUAGGCAGAGUAUUCCAGUCAUGGGCUCAUAUUCCAGGCAUGCCAGCAGGAAGUCACUCAGCUUUGACCUUGCUGUGAUCUUGCUGAUCCACACAUUACUGACCCACAUUAAAAUCCUUGCCCAGGUAAGACCCCUCAGAAGCUUUUUUUCCAAAACCUGCUACACAGUCAUCUCCAGCCUUGGCAGUUUCCAGGGGAUAAUCUGCCCACACUGCAGAACUCUGCAGUUGUCUGCUCAUUUUAAUAAGUUCUGCCUUUCUGCUGCUUUAAAGCAACAAAGUAGAGCAGUAGUGCAGAACAAGAGCCUCCAAUCCUGAUAUUGGAUGUUAGAACUUCCUUGCUCUCAUGUAACAGAUGCAGACAGAAUAUCUAAGUUAAAGUUUUGUGCCCCUUAAAAACAGGGGAGACGUGUCCCUUUCUCAAGUGUCUUUCAAAUUACCUUGCAAACUGCAAUGAGCUACAAUGCAAAGUCUGAAAUACCUGUUUGUAUCAAUUUGGGAUAAUGUUCUGGUUGCUAUUAUCUACUGUGGUGAGUGGAACAGAAGGUACAUCAGCCUGGCACAGAUAAUGAUUCCCUCAUAUCACUUUUUCUGAGGUAUUUGGACUAUCCAGACUAGUUUCAAAAGACUGUAAAGUCUUACAGUUUGCAGGUUUGCAUUCUGAAUUUUUAUCUAUUUUCAGCGUCUGCCAGCUAUAUUGAAGUGAUACUGUAUUAUGUAUGGGGAAAUAGAAAGCUAUCAUCUCAAAAUAGACCAUAAUAUUGCACCUUAUUAAAAAAUACAUGUGGGUUUUCUGCCAGCAACCAUGACUUACGAUAAUGACUGUUAUCAAUAUGCAAUUACUUCUGUUACCCUGGAACAUAUUGACAUUCAUUUAUUUAAAGAUAAUGUAACACAUUUGUAUUCAUUGAGGUAAUCAUUGGAUAUGAUUAAAUGUGAAUGCCCAUCUUAUACGAAACAGUAAAACAACAAAAAAAUUGUCAUUGGACGUUCUGCACUACUUAAAAUAGGUUGUAAUAAAUUCUGAAAAUUGCAUUUGAGCUUCUUUGAAACACAGUGACAACCAACCAUAAAGAAGCAAAAGCAUAACUUGGGUGAUUGCCAAUUUAAACAUUCAUUCUUUCUAAUGAUAUAGGCUGAACUUGACAAUAAGAAAAAGACCUUCAAAUAAAACUGUAAUCCCGUGUUUGUGGAAUGGACUACAGAGUUUGUGAUAGUGUGGAACAGAAGUCCAUUUAAACCGUGACAUUAAGUGGAGGCAGGAAUCUGUUUGACUGGGUUGUUUAGAUCAGUUUUGAAGAUGCAGAGGUUAGAUGUGGCAACAGGCAGGCAUUUAAAUCUGGUGUUUAGGUUUUGAAUAAUCAUUUUAUCCCCCAAAUUCCUUGUGGAAUAUAGGAUACCCCAGGAGGGCUUGGGCAUCCCAGGGCUGUUGCAGAAGUACCCC
This is a long non-coding RNA of Corvus hawaiiensis (hawaiian crow), 17140 nucleotides long. RefSeq lists it as uncharacterized. NCBI's taxonomy places the organism in Eukaryota, Metazoa, Chordata, Aves, Passeriformes, Corvidae. The transcript is spliced from 6 exons. The record is from RefSeq and is a predicted model, not a curated record.